AGCAAAGCCCUAGCUGCAUGAUUGAUACAUCCACUGGCCAAUGAGCGCUGAGAUUACGUCUCCCGGGCGGUAGUGCACGUAGAGCUGAUUUGCAACCCGCCGAAGCUCCAGCAGAGAAGGAGGAAAAAUGUCGCUGGAGUCGACGCGGACCGUUCUAGGAUCAGUGAGCUCUUAGGAGAAAACGCACAGCAGUUCGAACAAACCUGUGGCGCUGACAUGGACUGUUUGACACUUUUGUUUGGCCAACACUACACAAGCCUCUGAAGGUUACUUGGUCUAAUAAUCACAGCCUCCUGACCCCCCAGCUACCGUGGUUCAGUUCCAGCCCAAGCAUGGACCAGUCUGCCAGAGUGGUUUCCUCAGAGCCAGGAAACAGUGUGGCACAAGCCAGCAUGGACCUACAGGGCUUGUCAGAAAGCACGCUGGUCCUCCCGCAAAUGCCAGGACAGGCCCUGCUCGAGCCCAACCAGGUGGAAAUGCACGCCAUGCAGCCUCACGUCCAGCCCCAGGUGCCGGGUUCUGGCCCGGUCCAGUCUGAGGGUGCCUCGCAGAGUCAGGAGCUGGCAGCAAACUCCAGCUCGACCUCCGGGACCCAGAUGCCGUUUGCAGAAGUGUCGUCACUGCUGGAUCCCAACAUGAAAGGCUCCAAAGCUCGCAAGUAUCUCAUCUCGUAUGAAGAAAUCAAACGGCGCCUGCAGGCCCCAGAGAGGAUGUCCCUGCGCUCGCUGGCGGCGUACACCCGCGUCAGCAGAGGCCCGGCCAGCAAGAAAACGCUGCUGGAGUCGCUCAAUGUGCUGGGCCUGACGCCGAGCACGACCACGUCCGUCUCCUCCGCCUUCUCCAAACUCACGGAAGGCGACACCAGAGCUCUGUGCGACGACAUGAAAGACUUCGCCCAAGACUACAUCGACUACGGCAACAUGGCGAAGCAGCUCAUCCCUGAGACCAAUACAGUGCAACACUGGUCCAAAAUCAUUGAAACCAAAAACCACCUUGAAGACAUGAGGAAAUGCUUCAAGGACCCGGUCAACGGCGGCGCCUUCGACAGCGUCACCCACGGCCUCGGUCUGGGAAUGCUGGAUGUGGCGCUGGACGUGGUCGUCAUGGUGAUCGAGCAGCAGAUCCGCAUCCUUUCCGGCGCGGCGGCGUCAGAGCCCGCCGACUCUGGCCCAAUGAUGCGACGCGUCCGCCGGCGCCACCGCAAAGUCCGCUCCCACGACCACGAGGUGGCGGCCGCGGUCAAGGAGGAAGGAAAGGGCCUCAGCCAAGGAAGGGGACGAGGCAAGAUGAGGAAGAGGCCCCGGCGGGAACAGGGAGCGCUUGGCUGUGUGGAAGGCCAAGCGGAGCAGAGCAAGCCGCACGAUGUUCUGACGCUGGUGUCCGUGGGAUACGAGACGGUCUCCAGUGGCCUCAGUGCAGCUGGACCCGUUUGACACCGGCCCGACUGGUCCACAGAACCAGGGAGGGAGGUCAAACCCCUCAUUGCCCAGUCGCCACCAGCCCUCAGGUAGCUGCUAGCAUCCUCACCGGUCCCAGAGGAACCGUUAAUUAGCCCGUAGUGACUGAAGGACUAGAACUAGCAACCUACGAGUCGACGGACGGCAGGUUUAAGACUGUGAUAUCAAACCUGUCACUUAGUUUUUUACACUUUUCUUCAUAAAUGUGAUAUAAUGUGUUUCCUAAUGAGCUUCAUGGCUUCAGGUUGCAGCAUGUUUGCACUGAGCCGGCUCUGGUGAGUCUUCAUUAGCAGGUUUGGUGUCUGGUCACAGGAGCAGCUGAUACUUCACAUACAUGUAUGUAUAUGUGUUACGUAUGUUUAGAUUUGUUGCAUUAGCUCAAUAAAACAAAAUCAUCUUCACA
Betta splendens (Siamese fighting fish) is the source of this 1860-nucleotide long non-coding RNA. Ensembl lists it as uncharacterized. The record is from Ensembl. NCBI's taxonomy places the organism in Eukaryota, Metazoa, Chordata, Actinopteri, Anabantiformes, Osphronemidae.